CAACAUACAUGUUAAAAUUUCUCCCACAGGUUACAAAUCUGUCUUCAAGAAGCUACCCCAUACGGAGUCUUUACUGUUUUAGGUACAAAGAAGCCCUCUUUUCCAUAUAUCACCUCCACCAGUGCUUUCCAGGGAGCUUUUCCCCAUCGUUUUACCUCCAUAGCCAUUUGCAUAGCAAGCUUUGAUGGUGAGCUCUAAGAUUUCUA
RNAcentral lists this long non-coding RNA (206 nucleotides) under Nicotiana benthamiana. RNAcentral describes it as "long non-coding RNA (NBEN_LNC000912)". Lineage: Eukaryota; Viridiplantae; Streptophyta; Magnoliopsida; Solanales; Solanaceae. The record is from RNAcentral.